CGGGGCGUAGCGCAGCCUGGUAGCGCAUCUGCUUUGGGAGCAGAGGGUCGCUGGUUCAAAUCCAGUCGCCCCGACCA
RNAcentral lists this transfer RNA (77 nucleotides) under candidate division BRC1 bacterium ADurb.Bin183. RNAcentral describes it as "tRNA-Pro". It matches the Rfam family "tRNA". From Rfam's summary of the family: Transfer RNA (tRNA) molecules are approximately 80 nucleotides in length. Their secondary structure includes four short double-helical elements and three loops (D, anti-codon, and T loops). RNAcentral also lists the same sequence under 3 other names. Lineage: Bacteria; Candidatus Sumerlaeota. The record is from RNAcentral.